AAGGAUCAUUCAUAAUAAGUGUUUUAUGGCACUUUUUAAAUCCAUAUCCACCUUGUGUGCAAUGUCGGUCGGUCUUCUUUAUGGAGAUUGAUCAAACAUCAACCUAAUUUUUAACUCUUUGUCUGAAAAAUAUUAUGAAUAAAUAAUUCAAAUACAACUUUCAACAACGGAUCUCUUGGCUCUCGCAUCGAUGAAGAACGCAGCGGAACUACAUCGAUGUGAGUAAAAGUCGUAACAAG
Molecule: unclassified non-coding RNA, 239 nt
Filed under: uncultured fungus
Lineage: Eukaryota; Fungi
Description: partial contains 18S rRNA, ITS1, 5.8S rRNA, ITS2 and 28S rRNA
Rfam family: 5.8S ribosomal RNA (bases 156-239)
Source: RNAcentral